AAUUUCGAACAACAAAAGGAAAUCAGCAACAUCUCUUCCAAACGUUGCAAAGAAAGGCGUCAAAUACAGAGCAACACGGCACCAAACGACAUCUUCAUCGACCAGUGUUGUUCUGGUACAGUGCUUUCGGCUAUAGCAGACUGCUGUUCCGUCCUCGCCACUACGAGAUUACUCCACGUCGACACUCAAGGACGAGAGGUCAAUCGAGUCCGUCCAUCUCCCUUUCCUCUUUCGGAAUGGGGUGAAUUUUUCAGUGAAAAGGUUGCCUCCCCAGAAUUGUGUAAGAUUUUCGAUUUUGAAUUUGGAAUGGGCCUUGAACCCGAAUUUUCGUCCCUUUUNN
This 340-nucleotide long non-coding RNA is filed under the name Solanum tuberosum (potato). RNAcentral's name for it is "long non-coding RNA (STUB_LNC003356)". Lineage: Eukaryota; Viridiplantae; Streptophyta; Magnoliopsida; Solanales; Solanaceae. The record is from RNAcentral.